GGGGGGGGGGGGGGGGGGGGGGGGGGGGGGGGGGGGGGGGGGGGGGGGGGGGGGGGGGGGGGGGUGGUGGCCGCCGCCGCCCUCCGCCCGGCGCCGCUCCCGGCCGGCCCCGCGGGCCCGCUCCCCGCCGGCCGCCGAGCUCCGAGCGACCCCCGCGCCUCCCGCGCCUUCCUCCGCCCUUACGAGGCGGCAUCGUCCUACCCCCUGCUCCGCCACCUCCUCCUCCGGCGCGCAGCCCGCGGCUCUGGCAUUCCCAACGCGCUUGCUCUCCUCGAUUCGCUCGCUCUUUCCUCCGCCGUUCCUCCUUCUCCGAUCACAUGAGGAGCAGGCACGGCGACCCAGGACCCUCGUAAGUCGGAGAAGGCAUCGGACACAUCCUCAGCAUACUUUUCAGAGCUCUUAUUUGAGCAGGAUUUUUAUCUCCUUCACGAAGCUGAUGGGCAACCAGUGCAUUUUCUGGAGGAAAAAAAAAACCUCUCUCAUGUUUAGUUCCACCUGUCCCUCUGUUUUUCACGUCCCGAUACUAGCAACCUGUCGUCAGCACAGAAGGCAGAGCUGGCCAUUGUCGAUCACAGCUGCCAAUGGUCACCGACACCCAAGGCUCCUCUCAAGGAAAGGAGGAAAGAAAUUAUCUUCCCAAUCUGCUCUCCAGGCGGUCAUUUGACCCUGACACCCACCGAUGACACUGAAGAACACCCCGCUGAAGCGGCUAAACGCCUCGCAAUUUCCUGUCUUGGCUUCCCCCGGGCGGCCCGGCGCUCCGCCGCCGAGCGAUCUUAUCGCCGUGCGAUCAUUAUUCACCGGUGACAGCCAGAGAUGCAGCGCUCCUAAGUGAGGGUGACAGAUUUCAAACGCGGGGCUGCAGCGUAUCCAGCCUCAGACAUAUUCUUCCUCAAACUUUGCCUAGCAAGCAAGUCAGCGGCUUAACCCUUUGCAGGUCUUUCUCUCGCCCGGGGACCGAAACCCCAGCGCCGGAGGAUGCUGGUUUGGGGGGAAUGCAGGACAGCGCGGCUACUUGGCUGGGGUUUCUUUAUUACGUGCCAUUUUCUAUUCUUGGUUAUUUUCACUUGAAACAGAUGAGAACCGCCAACUCUAGGGAGCAGAUGGAGGGCUUUUCUGUGAUUAGGGGCUGGAAAAAUCCUCUUGGCAAAGCAGAUCGCUGGGGACUCACCUGUGGUCCCUCUCUGUCACCGAGUAUGCAAACUCAUCUGCAUGGCACGAAUUCCUCUCGUACGCACAUAUACAGAGCUUCUGCACUUUCCUCAGCGUGGUAUGGUUAAAAGUACAAUUCCAUAAGUGCCAUUCGCUCAGAUCUCCAGAUUCAGCUCUUUAACAAGUUAUCAACUACAACAGAGAAAGGAGCAAGUGAGAAAGAAACGUAUUUUCAGGAAAGAAAUAAAGGAAAAAAAGCCUUUUUCACACAUGCACUUUGUACUCAAAGGAAAUAUUUACCACCACCAAACUCCUGCAUGUCAGAACAUGUUUCCUCCUAAGCACAAGAAACGUUGAAACUGGGAGAAAAGCAUGUGCAAUUCAAAGAUGAAAUGAAGUGCUUGAAAGAUUUCCAAAGUGUGUACCACCAGAGCCCGAUGUCAAGACAACAUCAAGACAACAGGGAAACAAGAUUAACAAACUCUAUUGGUUGCCUAGUAUUUAUUUAUAUAUAUUUUCAGUGCAUUAUGAUUUUUUUCAGCUUUCUCUGCCCCCACCGCAUCCCCCUCCCAAAAAAAAAAAAAAAAAAAAGGGGGGGGGGGGGGGGGGGGGGGGGGGGGGGGGGGGGGGGGGGGGGGGGGGGGGGGGGGGGGGGGGGGGGGGGGGGGGGGGGGGGGGGGGGGGGGGGGGGGGGGG
This is a long non-coding RNA of Ficedula albicollis (Collared flycatcher), 1848 nucleotides long. NCBI's taxonomy places the organism in Eukaryota, Metazoa, Chordata, Aves, Passeriformes, Muscicapidae. The record is from Ensembl.